This 638-nucleotide ribosomal RNA is filed under the name Lichtheimia ornata. Its description in RNAcentral is "eukaryotic LSU rRNA". It matches the Rfam family "Eukaryotic large subunit ribosomal RNA", at positions 72 to 614 of the family's 3401-position model. Lineage: Eukaryota; Fungi; Mucoromycota; Mucoromycetes; Mucorales; Lichtheimiaceae. The record is from RNAcentral.
UGAUUCCCCUAGUAACGGCGAGUGAAGAGGGAAAAGCUCAAAGUUGGAACCUGGCUGUCUUAGAUAGUCCGGAUUGUAAACUAAAGAGCGUGAGUCCAGGCAAGCCGGUUGAUCAAGUCCUUUGGAAUGAGGCGCCACUGAGGGUGAGAGCCCCGUAAAUCGACUGAGCAUUUGUCUUUUGUGUCUCGCGUUCAAAGAGUCAGGUUGUUUGGGAAUGCAGCCUAAAGCUGGUGGUAAAUCCCACCUAAAGCUAAAUACAGGCGAGAGACCGAUAGCGAACAAGUACCGUGAGGGAAAGAUGAAAAGUACUUUGAAAAGAGAGUUAAACAGUAUGUGAAAUUGCCAAGAGGGAAGCAUUUGGAGUUAGACUGACUUGGAGUUAAUCAGCUUGGUCUUUGGACUGGGUGUACUUGACUUCUAUGUCUGCCAACAGCAGUUAGUCCUGAUGGAAAAAACUGAAGGGAAGGUAGUCCUUCGGGAUGUUUAUAGACCUUUGGAAAAUACAUUGGGAUUGACUGAGGAAUGCAGUAGAUGCUAUUAAGGCUUCGUCUAUUGGGUGUUAGGUAAAGGUACUUGGUAUUUUCAGCUUGCUGAUGUGCUAGGUUACUUGAGCUUAAUUGCCUAGUAGAACUGUAAUC